Molecule: ribosomal RNA, 278 nt
Filed under: Trisetipsylla sinica
Lineage: Eukaryota; Metazoa; Arthropoda; Insecta; Hemiptera; Psyllidae
Description: partial 12S ribosomal RNA
Source: RNAcentral
GAGUAGUAAAAGUUAGGGUCUUGAAACUUAAGAAAUUUGGCGGUAUUUUAUCUUUUUAGAGGAACCUGUUUAUUAAUUGAUAAUCCACAAUAAUUUUACUUUUUUUAAAAUACUUGUAUAUCGCUGUCAUGAAUAUAUUUUUAAGUAAAUUUUCAUUAAAGUUAUGUUAGGUCAAGGUGCAGUUUUAAAAGUUCAAAUGGGUUACAUUAGUUGAAUGGAUAGAAAAAGGAUUUAUUAGUAAAAAAAUAAGAUUUUAUGAAUAAAGAUUCUAAAAUAUG